This 478-nucleotide ribosomal RNA is filed under the name uncultured bacterium. Its description in RNAcentral is "bacterial SSU rRNA". It matches the Rfam family "Bacterial small subunit ribosomal RNA", at positions 29 to 507 of the family's 1533-position model. The record is from RNAcentral.
ACGAGCGCUGGCGGCGUGCCUAACGCAUGCAAGUCAACUUGACGGAAGGAGCAAUCUGACCGUAGAGUGGCGCAAGGGUGCGUAACGCGUAAGUAACUUGCCCAAGGUAAGGAAUAACGUCGAGAAAUCGGCGCUAAUACCUCAUAAUGCAGCGGAUCCGCAUGGAUAUGUUGUUAAAGGUUUACCGCCUUGGGAUAGGCUUGCGUCUGAUUAGCUAGUUGGUGUGGUAACGGCACACCAAGGCUACGAUCAGUAACUGGUCUGAGAGGAUGAUCAGUCACACUGGAACUGAGACACGGUCCAGACUCCUACGGGAGGCAGCAGUGAGGAAUAUUGGGCAAUGCUCGAAAGAGUGACCCAGCAACGCCGCGUGGAGGAUGAAGGUAUUCUAUAUCGUAAACUCCUGUGAGAGCAGACGAAAGACAGAUUAUUAAUCUGGAUGACUGUAUGCUCAGAGGAAGCCCCGGCUAACUACGUG